AGUGAACGCUGGCGGUAGGCCUAACACAUGCAAGUCGAACGGCAGCACAGUAAGAGCUUGCUCUUACGGGUGGCGAGUGGCGGACGGGUGAGGAAUACAUCGGAAUCUACUUUUUCGUGGGGGAUAACGUAGGGAAACUUACGCUAACACCGCAUACGACCUACGGGUGAAAGCAGGGGAUCUUCGGACCUUGCGCGAUUGAAUGAGCCGAUGUCGGAUUAGCUAGUUGGCGGGGUAAAGGCCUACCAAGGCGACGAUCCGUAGCUGGUCUGAGAGGAUGAUCAGCCACACUGGAACUGAGACACGGUCCAGACUCCUACGGGAGGCAGCAGUGGGGAAUAUUGGACAAUGGGCGCAAGCCUGAUCCAGCCAUACCGCGUGAGUGAAGAAGGCCUUCGGAUUGUAAAGCCCUUUUGUUGGGAAAGAAAAGCAGCAGAUUAAUACCCCGCUGUUCUGACGGUACCCAAAGAGUAAGCACCGGCUAACUUCGUG
RNAcentral lists this ribosomal RNA (492 nucleotides) under uncultured bacterium. RNAcentral's name for it is "partial 16S ribosomal RNA". It matches the Rfam family "Bacterial small subunit ribosomal RNA", at positions 29 to 507 of the family's 1533-position model. The record is from RNAcentral.